CGUCAAAUCAUCACGCCCCUUAUGACCUGGGCUACACACGUGCUACAAUGGAUGGUACAAAGAGCAGCAAAACCGCGAGGUCGAGCAAAUCCCAUAAAACCAUUCUCAGUUCGGAUUGUAGGCUGCAACUCGCCUACAUGAAGCUGGAAUCGCUAGUAAUCGCGGAUCAGCAUGCCGCGGUGAAUACGUUCCUGGGCCUU
RNAcentral lists this ribosomal RNA (200 nucleotides) under uncultured organism. Its description in RNAcentral is "partial small subunit ribosomal RNA". It matches the Rfam family "Bacterial small subunit ribosomal RNA", at positions 1183 to 1382 of the family's 1533-position model. The record is from RNAcentral.